GUGCUUGCUUCGGCAGCACAUACACUAAAAAUUGGAACCAUACAGAGAUUAGCAUGGACACCGCGCAAGGAUGAUUGAAAAUUCGUGAAGUGUUUCAUAUUUAU
This is a small nuclear RNA of Jaculus jaculus (lesser Egyptian jerboa), 104 nucleotides long. The record is from Ensembl. Lineage: Eukaryota; Metazoa; Chordata; Mammalia; Rodentia; Dipodidae.